ACACUCCUGCGGGAGGCAGCAGUGGGGAAUAUUGCACAAUGGGCGCAAGCCUGAUGCAGCCAUGCCGCGUGUAUGAAGAAGGCCUUCGGGUUGUAAAGUACUUUCAGCGGGGAGGAAGGUGUUGAGGUUAAUAACCUCAGCAAUUGACGUUACCCGCAGAAGAAGCACCGGCUAACUCCGUGCCAGCAGCCGCGGUAAUACGGAGGGUGCAAGCGUUAAUCGGAAUUACUGGGCGUAAAGCGCACGCAGGCGGUCUGUCAAGUCGGAUGUGAAAUCCCCGGGCUCAACCUGGGAACUGCAUUCGAAACUGGCAGGCUAGAGUCUUGUAGAGGGGGGUAGAAUUCCAGGUGUAGCGGUGAAAUGCGUAGAGAUCUGGAGGAAUACCGGUGGCGAAGGCGGCCCCCUGGACAAAGACUGACGCUCAGGUGCGAAAGCGUGGGGAGCAAACAGGAUUAGAUACCCGGGUAGUCCCAUG
RNAcentral lists this ribosomal RNA (475 nucleotides) under uncultured organism. RNAcentral's name for it is "partial 16S ribosomal RNA". It matches the Rfam family "Bacterial small subunit ribosomal RNA", at positions 333 to 799 of the family's 1533-position model. The record is from RNAcentral.